AUGAAACUCGGGGCUAUAUCCAGAGCCCCACACAUACUCUUCUGUUGUCAGGGCACCUUCCCACCUCCAGCUUGUCCCCAGUAGCAAGUCACCCUCCACCUGGGUUGCAGGUAGAGGGAGGUAGAGGGCACACCAGGUCCAAUGCCUCCAGAGGGGUGUUCCUGGCUACAGUGGAAGUCUUACUCUAGCAACGUAGGAUGCAUGUACCUCGGCUUCUAGGCCAGGAAUAACGUCCCAGGAUAUACCUGUCAGCUGUCUGGGCUGCUCUGCCCAGUCCCUGAACUCUCAAGACUUCCAACUCCUGGCUUUUAGUCCAUGAGUCUCAGUCCUGCUUUCCUUGGUCCCAAGGACUUCCCUGCUAUGAACAGAGACAAGGGUCCAUUUAGAGCCGCAGUCUCUGGGCUAAAGAGUACCAGAGGCAGAGCCCUGGCAGUGGCUCAGGCGGUGGGGGGCUUUGGAUUCUGGUUUAGACCCCAGCUGCCUACACGACGACACUGGGGUGCUGCCUGCAGGGGCUUUGCUUCUGAGAGCAGGCUGAGCCUGAAGAGCACUUGGGCUGGGACCAAGCCUGCAGGCUUGUUCCCCUUCAAGACACCCCGGGCAAGUAAUUUUUUUUUUUUUUACCUGUUUUCCUCUUCUGAAAAGUGGCCAUAAGAACUGCCCAGGUGACUUAACCAGAGUGUUGUUACUACACUCAAAUGAAUGAGGAAGUGGGAUGGGGUUUCUGGAGCUAAAAUUAAAAAUAAAAAAGUCACUAUAAGUGGAAGAGUGAAUGAGCAGCCGCAGCCAGGGACAGCAAAGGGGGCGUCUGUGUUUGUUUUAGGUUCCAAGUGCAGUCCUGAAGGCUGGAGUCUGCCAGGAGCCCUGAGAAUGGUCUCAGACCCCAGGUAGCUCACCUACUGAUGUGGCCACCCUGCAGAGGUGGAAGCCACAGUUUCUGCACUCACUUGCUCUACUAACAUCAGUGGCCUGCCCUUUUCUUUUCUUUUCUUUUCUUUUCUUUUCUUUUCUUUUCUUUUCUUUUCUUUUCUUUUUUCUUCUAUCUUGCCCUCUGGGGACUAGCUUUAGGGACUGCUGGGGUUUCCUUUUUUUUUCUUCCAUAACUGCAUAGCC
This 1113-nucleotide long non-coding RNA is filed under the name Rattus norvegicus (Norway rat). RNAcentral describes it as "long non-coding RNA NONRATT024094". The record is from RNAcentral. Lineage: Eukaryota; Metazoa; Chordata; Mammalia; Rodentia; Muridae.